CUCGUGGUAGCAGACGCAUGUUGUAUGUGAUUUGCAGUGUCCAAUUAAGAAAGUAUAACUUCUAUGCUGCAUAAAAAUUGAAAGCAGCUGAUUCUUAUGUGUAAUCUGUGAAGGUGUCUGUCAGACUGUUUUAAAAACAGCACACUGCAAAUUGGAAUUUACCAAACUAGCAAAAUGCCUUCAGGGGAAUUUUGAUGAGCCUUUAGAAGAAAGGGCACUGUCAGAUAAUUUAAGCAACUCUGAGAAAACAUGCUGCAAAUGCUUUUCUUCUUCUUGUCUCUCGGGGGGGUGUGAGGACGGGCGCCAUUUUCCUGCCACCAGGUCCGCAGCUGCCAGUGCAGCGCCACUGAGGCUGGUGCUCCUGGCUGCUGUGGGAGAGAACAGUUGAUCUACACAGCAACCCUGAGGUGUUUUUUGCUGUUUUAUCAACCCUGUCCCACAACAUCUUCCCUUUUGCCUCACAUGUAUAGCGCCAAAACACGAAUUUUGUUCUAUUGAUCUCAUUCCCACAUCCCAAUCAUGGGGCAGCGGCCUGCACUAUAUAGCCCUCAGGCUGGGGCUGAUCUUGGGACUGCAGCUCCUCGUGCUGCGGCUUCUGCAACUCCAAGCUGUGCUGGUCUGUUCCCCCACGGUGCUGGGACAUGCCUCACCUUCCUUUCCAGCUCCAGCUUGCAGGUCCCUGGCAGAAGCUGUCUUCUACUGAUGUUUAAGCCAAUGUCCGUGUGGGCAGUGCAGGCACUGGAGUCGUGUGAGACGUCUUCUGUUCUUCUAUGA
Molecule: long non-coding RNA, 774 nt
Filed under: Anser brachyrhynchus (Pink-footed goose)
Lineage: Eukaryota; Metazoa; Chordata; Aves; Anseriformes; Anatidae
Description: lncRNA (ENSABRG00000006483.1)
Source: RNAcentral